UCCAGCAGCCAUAUCACUCUGCAACUCACAACUGGCAGCCCACUGAAGCUCAGCAGGUGUGAGCCUGGUCAGUACCUGGAUGGGAGACCUCCUGGGAAAAACUAAGGUUGCUGCUGGAA
This 119-nucleotide ribosomal RNA is filed under the name Lepisosteus oculatus (spotted gar). The record is from RNAcentral. Lineage: Eukaryota; Metazoa; Chordata; Actinopteri; Semionotiformes; Lepisosteidae.